GCGCGUCCUAGCGCUAUCAGAUGAGCCUAGGUCGGAUUAGCUAGUUGGUCGAUGAGUGAGAGUAGGCUCACCAAGGCGACGAUCCGUAACUGGUCUGAGAGGAUGAUCAGUCACACUGGAACUGAGACACGGUCCAGACUCCUACGGGAGGCAGCAGUGGGGAAUAUUGGACAAUGGGCGAAAGCCUGAUCCAGCCAUGCCGCGUGUGUGAAGAAGGUCUUCGGAUUGUAAAGCACUUUAAGUUGGGAGGAAGGGCAGUAAGUUAAUACCUUGCUGUUUUGACGUUACUGACAGAAUAAGCACCGGCUAACUCUGUGCCAGCAGCCGCGGUAAUACAGAGGGUGCAAGCGUUAAUCGGAAUUACUGGGCGUAAUGUGUGCGUAGGUGGUUCGUUAAGUUGGAUGUGAAAGCCCCGGGCUCAACCUGGGAACUGCAUCCAAAACUGGCGAGCUAGAGUACGGUAGAGGGUGGUGGAAUUUCCUGUGUAGCGGUGAAAUGCGUAGAUAUAGGAAGGAACACCAGUG
This 524-nucleotide ribosomal RNA is filed under the name uncultured Pseudomonas sp. RNAcentral describes it as "bacterial SSU rRNA". It matches the Rfam family "Bacterial small subunit ribosomal RNA", at positions 202 to 714 of the family's 1533-position model. The record is from RNAcentral. Lineage: Bacteria; Pseudomonadati; Pseudomonadota; Gammaproteobacteria; Pseudomonadales; Pseudomonadaceae.